AGUUCUGUGGCGUAGUUGGUUAUCGCGCCCAGUCUAGCGUAUUGGGAGUCGUGGGAUCGAAACCCACCUGAACGA
This 75-nucleotide transfer RNA is filed under the name Aedes aegypti (yellow fever mosquito). It matches the Rfam family "tRNA". Rfam says of the family: Transfer RNA (tRNA) molecules are approximately 80 nucleotides in length. Their secondary structure includes four short double-helical elements and three loops (D, anti-codon, and T loops). The record is from Rfam by way of RNAcentral. Lineage: Eukaryota; Metazoa; Arthropoda; Insecta; Diptera; Culicidae.